CCUACGGGGGGCUGCAGUGAGGAAUAUUGGUCAAUGGGCGCGAGCCUGAACCAGCCAAGUAGCGUGAAGGAUGACUGCCCUACGGGUUGUAAACUUCUGUUAUAAAGGAAUAAAGUGAGGCACGUGUGCCUUUUUGGAUGUACUUUAUGAAUAAGGAUCGGCUAACUCCGUGCCAGCAGCCGCGGUAAUACGGAGGAUCCGAGCGUUAUCCGGAUUGAUUGGGUUUAAAGGGAGCGUAGAUGGGUUGUUAAGUCAGUUGUGAAAGUUUGCGGCUCAACCGUAAAAUUGCAAUUGAUACGGGCAGCCUUGAGUACAGUUGAGCUAGGCGGAAUUCGUGGUGUAGCGG
This 346-nucleotide ribosomal RNA is filed under the name uncultured bacterium. Its description in RNAcentral is "partial 16S ribosomal RNA". It matches the Rfam family "Bacterial small subunit ribosomal RNA", at positions 338 to 681 of the family's 1533-position model. The record is from RNAcentral.